Onthophagus taurus is the source of this 462-nucleotide non-coding RNA. NCBI's taxonomy places the organism in Eukaryota, Metazoa, Arthropoda, Insecta, Coleoptera, Scarabaeidae. The record is from RefSeq and is a predicted model, not a curated record.
AUUCAGUUACUUCGUCGAUAUCGCAACAAAAGUACCAAAAAUGAAGUUAAGUAUAACUAUUUUUUUGGUUCUUGCAAUUUUUGCAGCAAUUAUUGGUGGUAAGUUAAGUUCAUCUAAACUUAAUAAAAACACUGAACUUUAUUUUAUUUGUGCUAAAUAAGCAAAACACCAAGCUCCAAAGCACGGCAAAGAAGAAAAGAGACUAUUGGGUAUAGCGGAGAAUAUAAGGGGGAAAUUCUGCGACAUAGUAUGUUCUGGGGGAGGAAAAAGGAAGUGAUCCAACCCAGAAACGUAGAAUACACCAUGGUUGUAUUCAGUUUAUUGAAAAGUGUAGCGCAUGUAGUUUUAUUUUGUUAGUCAACAUUGCGGCUUAUAUUUGUAUUCUUUGUUUUAAUUGUUUUGAAAGCAAUAUCUGUACGUUACUUUUUCAAUAAAUGAGGACCAUAAAUCAGAAUUAUAAAA